CCUACGGGGGGCUGCAGUGGGGAAUAUUGGGCAAUGGGCGCAAGCCUGACCCAGCAACGCCGCGUGAAGGAAGAAGGCUUUCGGGUUGUAAACUUCUUUUCUAAGGGACGAAGAAAGUGACGGUACCUGAGGAAUAAGCCACGGCUAACGACGUGCCAGCAGCAGCGGGAAUACGUAGGUGGCAAGCGUUAUCCGGAUUGACUGGGUGUAAAGGGCGUGUAGGCGGGACGGCAAGUCAGAUGUGAAAACCACGGGCUCAACCUGUGUACUGCAUUUGAAACUGUGGUUCUUGAGUACUGAAGAGGCAGACGGAAGUCCUAGUGUAGAGGUGAAAUGCGUAGAUAUUAGGAGGAACACCAGUGGCGAAGGCGGUCUGCUGGACAGCAACUGACGCUGAGGCGCGAAAGCGUGGGGAGCGAACAGGAUUAGAUACCCGUGUAGUC
RNAcentral lists this ribosomal RNA (443 nucleotides) under uncultured bacterium. RNAcentral's name for it is "partial 16S ribosomal RNA". It matches the Rfam family "Bacterial small subunit ribosomal RNA", at positions 338 to 795 of the family's 1533-position model. The record is from RNAcentral.